CAGCCGCCGCGGUAAUACGAAGGGUGCAAGCGUUAAUCGGAAUUACUGGGCGUAAAGCGUGCGUAGGCGGUGAGUUAAGUCUGCUGUGAAAUCCCCGGGCUCAACCUGGGAAUGGCAAUGGAUACUGGCAAGCUAGAGUGUGUCAGAGGAUGGUGGAAUUCCCGGUGUAGCGGUGAAAUGCGUGGAGAUGUGGAGGAACACCGAUGGCGAAGGCAGCCCCCUGGGCCAAUACUGACGCUCAUGCACGAAAGCGUGGGGAGCAAACAGGAUUAGAUACCCCGGUAGUCCCUGUCUCUUAUAC
RNAcentral lists this ribosomal RNA (301 nucleotides) under uncultured bacterium. Its description in RNAcentral is "partial 16S ribosomal RNA". It matches the Rfam family "Bacterial small subunit ribosomal RNA", at positions 509 to 807 of the family's 1533-position model. The record is from RNAcentral.